Molecule: ribosomal RNA, 734 nt
Filed under: Bacillus sp. YFRE14
Lineage: Bacteria; Bacillati; Bacillota; Bacilli; Caryophanales; Bacillaceae
Description: bacterial SSU rRNA
Rfam family: Bacterial small subunit ribosomal RNA
Source: RNAcentral
GUCGAGCGAAUGGAUUAAGAGCUUGCUCUUAUGAAGUUAGCGGCGGACGGGUGAGUAACACGUGGGUAACCUGCCCAUAAGACUGGGAUAACUCCGGGAAACCGGGGCUAAUACCGGAUAACAUUUUGAACCGCAUGGUUCGAAAUUGAAAGGCGGCUUCGGCUGUCACUUAUGGAUGGACCCGCGUCGCAUUAGCUAGUUGGUGAGGUAACGGCUCACCAAGGCAACGAUGCGUAGCCGACCUGAGAGGGUGAUCGGCCACACUGGGACUGAGACACGGCCCAGACUCCUACGGGAGGCAGCAGUAGGGAAUCUUCCGCAAUGGACGAAAGUCUGACGGAGCAACGCCGCGUGAGUGAUGAAGGCUUUCGGGUCGUAAAACUCUGUUGUUAGGGAAGAACAAGUGCUAGUUGAAUAAGCUGGCACCUUGACGGUACCUAACCAGAAAGCCACGGCUAACUACGUGCCAGCAGCCGCGGUAAUACGUAGGUGGCAAGCGUUAUCCGGAAUUAUUGGGCGUAAAGCGCGCGCAGGUGGUUUCUUAAGUCUGAUGUGAAAGCCCACGGCUCAACCGUGGAGGGUCAUUGGAAACUGGGAGACUUGAGUGCAGAAGAGGAAAGUGGAAUUCCAUGUGUAGCGGUGAAAUGCGUAGAGAUAUGGAGGAACACCAGUGGCGAAGGCGACUUUCUGGUCUGUAACUGACACUGAGGCGCGAAAGCGUGGGGAGCAAACAG